Molecule: small nucleolar RNA, 130 nt
Organism: Talpa occidentalis (Iberian mole)
Lineage: Eukaryota; Metazoa; Chordata; Mammalia; Eulipotyphla; Talpidae
Product: small nucleolar RNA SNORA31
Exons: 1
Source: RefSeq, a predicted model, not a curated record
UUGCAUCUAUUUGACAGACCUGGAACUGUCACUCUCUGCUGCCAAGGUUCGCACUGAAGAUGCAAGAGAAAAGUGUUCUCAUGCUUUCUGUCUGAUUUUAUCAGCCAAGGCUGAAUGGGGGACUGUUAGC